CGCAGCCGCGGUAAUUCCAGCUCCAAUAGCGUAUAUUAAAGUUGUUGCAGUUAAAAAGCUCGUAGUUGAACUUCGGGGUUUACCCAUUGGUCAGGCUUAAUUGUCUGUACUGGUGAGAUAAAUCUCUACCUCCUGAGGAACUUUCAUGUCAUUAAUUUGGUGUGAUUGGAAAUCAGGACUAUUACUUUGAAAAAUUAGAGUGUUUAAAGCAGGCUAAAGUCUGAAUACAUUAGCAUGGAAUAAUGAAAUAGGACGGAUUUGAUUCUAUUUCGUUGGUUUCUAGGAUCACCGUAAUGAUUAAUAGGGAUAGUUGGGGGCAUUAGUAUUCAAUUGUCAGAGGUGAAAUUCUUGGAUUUAUUGAAGACUAACUACUGCGAAAGCAUUUGCCAAGGAUGUUUUCAUUAAUCAAGAACGAAAGUUAGGGGAUCGAAGACGAUCAGAUACCGUCGU
RNAcentral lists this ribosomal RNA (450 nucleotides) under uncultured Diversispora. RNAcentral's name for it is "SSU rRNA". It matches the Rfam family "Eukaryotic small subunit ribosomal RNA", at positions 569 to 1021 of the family's 1831-position model. Lineage: Eukaryota; Fungi; Glomeromycota; Glomeromycetes; Diversisporales; Diversisporaceae. The record is from RNAcentral.